This is an RNA transcript of Anguilla anguilla (European eel), 3133 nucleotides long. It is a transcript of the gene named NME/NM23 nucleoside diphosphate kinase 3, with no coding region annotated. The transcript is spliced from 6 exons. The record is from RefSeq and is a predicted model, not a curated record. NCBI's taxonomy places the organism in Eukaryota, Metazoa, Chordata, Actinopteri, Anguilliformes, Anguillidae.
AGCAGUGAGAUACAAUGUAGGAAAAAGCUUAUGAACUUCCGUAACGUUACACACCCAUGUACGUGCUAUAGUUGGAACGAAUUCCUCGUGAACAUGUUUCCUGUUAACUUUCGAGUAGCAUUGCUACUUCGUCUAAAGCGGAGACGUCCUAUGAAUAGCUCAGAAUUUGCUUCCAUUCUUGCUGACCUGUGAGCCCAGCCACCGCAUUGGUUUCUGCUGAUUCUCGUAUGCCAGGCUGCUGUAGUUAGCCACUUGACAUGGGACCGAAAAGGUUACUGUCUGACCAGCAGGAGCUUGAGAGGUCGGUUGCAAAGAUCGCAAGGCUUGAAGUGUAUGGCUGGACAGGGGCGAAUGAGCGGACCUUCGUGGCGGUGAAGCCGGACGGGGUGCAGAGGCGGCUGGUGGGCGAAAUCAUCCGGCGCUUCGAGCGGAAGGGCUUCCACCUGGUGGGGCUCAAGCUGGUGCAGGCGUCGGAGAGCCUCUUGAAGGCCCAUUACUGGGAGCUGAGGGACAAGCCCUUCUUCAACGGCCUCAUCCGCUACAUGAGCUCCGGGCCCGUGGUUGCCAUGGUGUGGCAGGGGCUGGACGUGGUGAAGACAGCACGCAGAAUGCUAGGAGAGACCAACCCUGCUGACUCUCUCCCAGGAACCAUCCGAGGAGACUACUGCCUGGAAGUGGGCAGGAAUGUGAUCCAUGGCAGUGACUCGGUGGAGAGCGCACAGAGGGAGAUCUCACUGUGGUUCCAAAGUCAAGAGCUCACGUGCUGGGAGGACUGCAGCCAGCACUGGAUCUAUGCAUGAAGCGCAUGCAUGCACAAGCACGCACGCACACACGCGCACAAAUACACGACAGUACAAAUACACACACACACACUUUUAAGGCAAUAAGAAUGCAUAAUAACCGUCAUUUAGCUAAUCUGUGCUCCCAGGUAAAACAUAAAAACUCUGUCCAUAAAAUGUAAAAAUUUUUAUCUAUGUGCAUUUUUUUCCUUUUUUGGAUUCUGUUUAAAUCUGUUUCGAUUAAUUCAUUGAAUUCUAAACCAUUUGCUAAUUUAACUAAUUUGCUAGUAACUUCAAGGUGAUUUAUGUAAAUAAGGAAAGCUAUAGGUCACAACACUGAUUCUCGUGGGACUCCACUUCCCACAGUACCUUGCUCGUAUAAAAUCCCUCCUUAUGGUUUGUGUUCUGCUCUGGAGUCGGUUUCAGAUCCGCCCUGAAAUGACUUGCGUAAUUCUCAUGCACUCCAGAAGUCCGAGAGCAUCGUUACACGUGACCUCCAGUCAGUCCUCAGCCAGCUCUCGUUCUUCAAAUCACGCACACUUCUAACUUUGUUAUUCGCAAACGCGCGCAUACAAAGACUGGCCGGAGAGUCGCGGGACAGACGGUCCUGAACUCUGAACCCUGACUCGCUCCGGACGUGUUAAGAUGGCGUCCAUCUUGUUUUUUGUAGCUCACAGUUUAAGUAGCUCUGUAGGUGCCGGGGCUGAUCCUGGAGCCAGUUGCAGCAGAUGGGUGUAUGCGCGCUCAGAGUGCCACUGGUCUAGUCGGGGCUCCACGGUCUGCUUGCUCGAAGGGAAACUCCUGCACUGGGCUCCUUAUUUUAUCCGUCCUCUUCUCCUCGGCCCUCACGUGACUCGGAAAUCAAGGUCCGGUCCGCCGUCUAUAAGGCUAAUUCCGUCGAAUGCUCCUCGGAGGAGCGAGGAGGCUCCCGAAGGAUGCUUGAGCGAGGAAGCGCGAGUGCAUCCUGUUGGGAAGUAUUUUUCGGAACGCGUGGCGUAUAAACGAUCGAACUGUGGCUCCACAUCUCCCCAUCUGCAAUUGAGGUGGCUUCAGACUGAUGCUUGACUGAGCGAGGAUGUUCCGUUUGCCUGAUACACGUUGCCUCGAUUCCUCGGUCCUCACAUCUCACCCUUGCAUCUCUUCCUCGUGUCCUCCGCUGGGCGGAGCUAAGGAGCGAGGAAAGGACGCGAGGAACAGAUGCAAGGAGUGAAAAUAAGCGACUGAAAUGAGCCCGGUGUCUUCCUCUGACUGGUGUCUGUGUAGAAUUGAGUGUGGUCGGUGAAUACAACUCCAAUACGAGAGGCGAAAAGAAGAAAAGUCAUUUUUUUAAAAGAGGUGCUUGACAUGUCCUCAAUGCAAACUUUAUAUGUACACAUCCUGACUGAAGUCUUUUAGGUCUUAGCUGCUCCUGAAUGGGGCGAACACUCCUUUCCCCCAAACCGCUUUUCUACCUAUUUUAGUCUGCAGUGGCUCCAAACACUAUUAGAAAUGGUCCCAAGAAGUGACUAGUGGCCUAGACCGUGGAAUGUUCCGGAACUUAACUUGUUUAAAAAUGACAUCAUUCUUGGGUCAUAGAAUCUGUCCAUGUUUCCAAAUUAUAGGUGCUUUUACUUAAGACUACAUCUCUACCACUAGUCUAUUGUAGUAAAAGAUUAUCAUGCAGAUAACCUUGCAUGGAAACAUGGCUAAUCUUAAAAAGAGGUGGUUAACCAGCACAAGCCCUGAACAUGCGCUUACAUUGUCAUAAAAAGGUUGUAUAAUUAGAGUAUUUUUAUAUCUAUGGAAACGUUUGUAUGCUCUGAUAAUGGUGUCUACUAUUGUAGUAAUGCGACUGGAUUAAUUGAUCCAAAAGAGAAUGCAGAAAAUUUGUUUGAACAUGAACUGAGCAAACCUGUGUGAAACAUGUACUGUAAGAACAGCUGAUGUGUUUUAAAUGUUAAACCUGAUUGAACUGUGUGAUAAGUCCAGUCUUAUGCCUUUACUGCCCAAAAAUCAGUGCACCAUAACAAUAUCGUAAUUUGAAGAAACCGAGUUUCUGGUCAGCUUGAUAUUGAAUGUAAUUCAGGGAAUACUUGGGCAGAUAAAAUGAUGUUAUGUAAUCUGUCAUGGCCUUCUUUAAACAAAAAUAUCUCAUCGUCAAAAUCAGUUCCCUUUCGUUACUGAAGAGCGAAUGUGUUUGAGUGAAUUUAUUUUAUUUAUUUAUUACUAUGUAACCAUAUGCAAUUUGUAAGCAAUGCAGGGUAAGUUACCUGGACACCUAUUGUCCUUGGCUUUGUACUUGAUGAGUGGGAAAAAAACACUAUUCCUUGUGACCAAAAAUGUCCAAAAUGAAAUAAAGGUCCAAGUGAAGAUUG